GAACCUGUGUUUGCUGCUGUUCUUUUUGAAACCUCGUGCCCUCGACGUUGCGUUAAAUAUAUUUCGUUAAGUUCUCAAGAUCCGAGACCACUCGAGUAUUGCUUUCAUAUUGCAGUAUUUACAACUCCGAAGGGAAAGUUUACGUAAACUGCGCAGCGAUGGAAAGGAGGAUAGGACAACAACGGAGUGCUGUUUGCAUGCAUGCACAACUUUUUUCAAGGGGCUCGGCUUUGAAACGUCCGAAAAAAAUUGGAGCAACGAUACACCGAGGAAUUUCUUUCACUCGUUCGCCACCGAUAAACAAAAUAGGCUCUCCUUUGAUACGAUACGCAAAGGAGAUAUUCCGGAAAAUAAUAAAAAGCAUUCCAGAACGUGAAAACAGAAUUUCUCCCGCUGGGUAAUAGGAUAUUUGAGAUAUUCAGAUAUUCGACAAUCCCUUGGUAAAUCGAAAAUGGAUUGCUCCGCGUGAAAAUUCAAUUUACGCAGGGAGGAAAUUUUGUUUCGAAAGAAAACCAUUCCAACGAGAGAAGUCGAAGGUGGAGGGAGCGGUUAAAUAGAAUUCCUUCUUAUUCGAUCGGGCGACUCCAUUUUUCUGCAAUGAUUGAAUUUUCUACCCAAUCGCACGUUUCGUUGCGAUACUGUCUCUGUUGUUUAUAAACAUCCUUGCAGGGAAAUAAAGUGGUGCAAUUCAUCCGCAAGACGUUCAACGAGGGGCAUCGAUUCAAUUUUAUAAUAAGCUGCAACGACUGAGCUCGUUCCGUUGUUAUAUACAUAGAGAAGCUUAUCUGAUUACCAGGUCAUUCGAUAAAACUUUUAAUCCUUUCUUUUCCUAUCAUUGGUUCAUUGUCACGGUUUCACCGAGUCGAGCAGAUAAAAAACAGGAGAAAAAUCUGACAAACAAAAAAAAAGUACCCUGUACUCGCGAAAUAGUUAAAAAAAAAAAAAAGAAGACUAGUUUCGAUCGUGUCAUGGUGUAACGUAUGGCUUUAUAAUGUCAGUGGGUGUAAACUAAUUUGCUUGCCAGACUGAAACCAGUUUUAAGUCUUGCAGAAAUGCUAGUUUCUCCUAUGAUAGAAUGUUAAGCUAAUCAUGUUUCCAAUGCUUACAUAAUGAGGAGCGCAACAAACUGACUCACGACGUUGAUGAUUAAUAUACACUAAUAAUAAACUAAAGUGCAUCUUGCCAAGGAAACGUUUUUAGACGCGUAUCAAUGCGAACCGUUUUUCGGGUAUACCAACUAGCACGAAAAUAAAAUCGUUUCGAAUGCAGAAUACGAAAUGCAAUACACGCGUUAAUGGAUACUGUGCAACAAUAUUAUAUCAAUAGGAUAAGUUCCACAUACAUUAUGUAUACUUUAUGUAUGUAGAAUAUAUUAUCGUACGUCAUAGAUGCAUAAAAUUCAUAGUCUAGUUAUAAUUAUGUAAGAAGCAUCACAGACAAAGAUCGAGAGUUCUAAAGAAAGGUCGUCGUCCUUUUACCAAGCAAAUGUGAUAUUACCAAACUGUAAGGAAAUAUAACUCCUAAACUAAACAUGAUAUAAAAUCGUGGUUCGAGAUAUUGUUUCUUUUUAAGAAAUUAUAUCAACCCUCCAACCUAUGACAACACAUGAGCUCGUAUAGAAUUUGCGUCGAACGUGAAAAACACGAGUUAGACACGUCGUGCGAAAGUGCUCAAGAAAUUUUAUACCCGAUUAUGACACGCACGGUCCUACAGUAAAUCGUAAGGCGAUGGGUUAAAUAAAAUCACGAUAAAAUCGGGAUGAAAAUCGUAAUCUCUCCGAGAAAAAUCUCGAGCACAAUCACUAGCCCUGAAUCACUGCUGGAAUCGAAAAAUCGGAUUGAUCGCAGUCGUUCGUCGAACCCGGAGGCAUAAUGCGCACGCGAAUCGCAGCAGCACUCUCUAUACAUAGACGAUGGUCGUGCAUCGGACACAGGGCUCCGAAACACGACUACCCUCUGAUUGGGUUCAGCUCGCACUACCGUACAAAUGAUUUUGGAGUAGAAGCAGUGGCUUUGACCACGCAUCUUUCGAACGUGACGGGUGGUUGCGUGCUCG
Hylaeus anthracinus is the source of this 2055-nucleotide long non-coding RNA. RefSeq lists it as uncharacterized. The record is from RefSeq and is a predicted model, not a curated record. The transcript is spliced from 3 exons. NCBI's taxonomy places the organism in Eukaryota, Metazoa, Arthropoda, Insecta, Hymenoptera, Colletidae.